This is a small nuclear RNA of Naja naja (Indian cobra), 127 nucleotides long. Lineage: Eukaryota; Metazoa; Chordata; Lepidosauria; Squamata; Elapidae. The record is from Ensembl.
ACUAUCCUUAUCUUGGGGUUGCGCUACUGUUCAAUGAACGUCUAGUGAGGACAGUACUGCUAACACCUACACAACACUUUGGCAUCCUUGGGGCUUGUUCCCCACAUGAGGUGCAAUUUUUGGAACC